GGCGCUAUCGAAUAAGGGUUCAGUUCGCGGCCCUCUCAAGGCUGAAAUACGGGUUCGAAUCCCGUUAGCGCUA
This 73-nucleotide transfer RNA is filed under the name Candidatus Cacconaster equifaecalis. RNAcentral's name for it is "tRNA-Glu". It matches the Rfam family "tRNA". Rfam says of the family: Transfer RNA (tRNA) molecules are approximately 80 nucleotides in length. RNAcentral also lists the same sequence under 1 other name. The record is from RNAcentral. Lineage: Bacteria; Pseudomonadati; Bacteroidota; Bacteroidia; Bacteroidales.